UACCGCGUGUGUGAAGAAGGCCUGAGGGUUGUAAAGCACUUUCAAUUGUGAAGAAAAGUUAGCGGUUAAUAACCGUUAGCCUUGACGUUAACUUUAGAAGAAGCACCGGCUAACUCCGUGCCAGCAGCCGCGGUAAUACGGAGGGUGCAAGCGUUAAUCGGAAUUACUGGGCGUAAAGCGUGCGUAGGCGGUUUAUUAAGUCAGAUGUGAAAGCCCCGGGCUUAACCUGGGAACUGCAUUUGAAACUGGUCAACUAGAGUAUGGUAGAGGAAAGUGGAAUUUCUGGUGUAGCGGUGAAAUGCGUAGAUAUCAGAAGGAACAUCAAUGGCGAAGGCAGCUUUCUGGACCAAUACUGACGCUGAGGUACGAAAGCGUGGGUAGCAAACAGGAUUAGAUACCCUGGUAGUCCACGCCGUAAACGAUGAUAACUAGCCGUUGGGGGGAUCUACCCUUUAGUGGCGAAGCUAACGCGUUAAGUUAUCCGCCUGGGGAGUACGGCCGCAAGGUUAAAACUCAAAGGAAUUGACGGGGACCCGCACAAGCGGUGGAGCAUGUGGUUUAAUUCGAUGCAACGCGAAGAACCUUACCUGGUCUUGACAUCCUGCGAACUUUCUAGAAAUAGAUUGGUGCCUUCGGGAACGCAGUGACAGGUGCUGCAUGGCUGUCGUC
This 669-nucleotide ribosomal RNA is filed under the name uncultured Gammaproteobacteria bacterium. RNAcentral's name for it is "bacterial SSU rRNA". It matches the Rfam family "Bacterial small subunit ribosomal RNA", at positions 395 to 1056 of the family's 1533-position model. The record is from RNAcentral. Lineage: Bacteria; Pseudomonadati; Pseudomonadota; Gammaproteobacteria.